Anas platyrhynchos (mallard) is the source of this 1304-nucleotide long non-coding RNA. RefSeq lists it as uncharacterized. NCBI's taxonomy places the organism in Eukaryota, Metazoa, Chordata, Aves, Anseriformes, Anatidae. The record is from RefSeq and is a predicted model, not a curated record.
CUCAGGAGAAAGCCAUUUUUCUAGGCAGGGAUCCUAGCCUGGGUGAGGCAGGAGGGAGCAUUUCUUCCAGAGAAUUAACAGCAAAUGCAAGUGGCUGGUGUCUUGAAGCCCAGGGCAUGCCAACUGGUGUAUUCAAUUCAUCUGGGUCAUCACAGCCCUCCACAGAGCUGCUGCUUUUCGUGCUAGGUGGCUCACUGGUAGCAUUACUCACCAGGAUGCCCAUGCAUCUCCACAACAUGCUCAUGUCGUUUCAUAUCUUCUGCCAAUCCCAGUGCUCUCAGCAAGAAGGUUCAUUCAACAUCAUGAUCCCACUGAUGGAAAGCUUACCACGAUGUGACUCCUCACAAGCCCCUCACUAUCUGCAGCUGACUGCCGAGCAGGGCUGCUCCCUCCUGGGUCAGUUCUUUGCACCAGCUUCUGAAGUACAGGGUGUCCACGGCUGUUGCAACAAGGAGCCAGCCACACUAACCCAGAAAGUUAAUCAAGAACUGCCUAUGGGUUGUAUCAAGUGUAUUUUCCCUGACAUGUGCUGCAUGCUACACAUGUUCAUUUGCAUUUCCAUCAGUCUUCCCAUCUCCCCUUCAAUUCCUCCUGUCUGUAUGCAAUCCUUCAAACACUUCCCCGCAACACAACCACUUCAGAGUCUAAAGAGCACAAAAGAUCCUGGGAUUAACCUGAAUAUUAUUUUACUUUACUUACUAGAAAUGUCAUUCAGACACAUAAGCCACGGAGGGAAAUCCAUUAGCUGCCCAGGGUGCACAGCAGAGGGUGGUGGGGCCAGCGACACAGCCAAAGCAGUGCACCAGCUUUCACAGUUAUCAUGCUAAUUAAUAACAUAAUUAAAUGAAGAGAAGCUCAUUACUGGAGUAUCAAGAGAAGGGACAGAGAUACAAAUGUAGUAAGAAAGGGACUGAAGGAAUCUCCUUUGCUGUCAAGCCCUCUUUCUUCUGAUUCCUAUCACACCAGCUUAUUAAAGCCUGUCUUAAAAGCAGUGGCUUUUCCCUUGCUCCCCCGGGGAGGCUGUUAAAGAGCUUCCCUCAUCAUAUAUCAAGGAAUCUCCUCAUUUGCAAACAAAAUUUAUACUUAGCCAGUUUGUUCUUGUACUGUAGCUUAAAUCAUCUCUCCCUCACGAAGCUUUCUCUUUCCCAUGAACAGCAGCCACCUCUCUUCUCUGAUAUUUAUUGCUGAGCAGGCUGCAGGAGCAUCCCCUCCCUCAGCAGCUCCUUUGUCCCGUGUGUCCUCAGUGCACUUCUCCAUGGCUGCAAGCCCCAAACUCCUCAGCCUGCACAGAAAUCUAGCAAUGC